This is a long non-coding RNA of Gallus gallus (chicken), 679 nucleotides long. NCBI's taxonomy places the organism in Eukaryota, Metazoa, Chordata, Aves, Galliformes, Phasianidae. The record is from Ensembl.
CUCAUCUCUACUCAGAUAUGUGCAUCAACUAUUGAUAAUUAUAAGAAGUCCAGGGUUCUUCAGGAAUAUCUAUCUAUUCAGGAUUUUGCUGCCUGGAUUGGCCUUUUUUGGUGCAUAUUCUGGGAAAAAUUGAGUAGGGGUAUCUGGAUCCACGAAGUGGCAUCUGAUCCCUGCCUUGAUAUCUUCAGGGAGCUCAGAACUCAGAUCUUAAAAUGGCAAAGGAUGUAGCAUUUCCUGGAAUGGCUCAUGACAGAUAUUCUUCCUCUGAGUACUAGUUUAGACUUACAGUGGGAGGAAAUCCCAGCAGAUAACAGGAAAAAAUAGUUUUGAUUUUAAGAAGAAAAGAGCUUAAAAGGAAACAGGAAGCUGAUGUUGGCAGUCUGACCUGUGCUGCAUGAGGAAUCUGAUUUCAAAAGCCUUCCCAAAUGCAGGCUUAAGGGAUGCAAACUGCCAUGACGUUUGCAGCAAUUGAGGAAUUCUGUCAUUGGCUCACACUGCUCUCUCUUUUAUAGGAAAGUGAAAGCAUAAGACUUAGUAUGUCACUGUUAUGUGCUUAUGCAUUCUUGAUCCUACAAAAACUGCAAAAAAAAAAAGACUAUGAAAAGGUCAGAGUCCACCAAGAAAUGCAGGUGUUCAGCAGAGCUCUGGAAGCGAAUAGGAGGAGGUCACCAGUGCUAUG